GCUGUUGCUAUCGCUUUCGGUACUCUUCUCUGCCACACACUUCCUGUGCCUUUGCCUUCCUCUGGUGUCAUUCGGCAGGAAGACCGAAGAGAGAAAAAAGGAGGCAUGAGCACCCUCUUGGGACCUACAAUCAGGGAGGAAGGUUACUUUCCUUCAGAGUUUUAAUCACCUGAAGGCCCUGGCGGCUGCCACUGUCACUGUCUCUACCUCUGUCACCACCACUGCUGCCACAGGAUUGCCUGUGGGCUAGAACAUGAAAGUACGAAGAAAAGAAGAAAGAAAAACUGGGGAUCCCCUUAACUAUCGCUGAGGGCUCAGAAGUGGAAAAAUAUGAAGAUCCAUUGCUGAUGGGAAUCCUGCCCUAAGCAAAUGGUGGAGGACUUACAACUUCUCAGGUGUCUCCCUUUGUGGGAGGAAUCCCAGCUAUAGCCUAGUGGACCAUUCACCCAGGAAUCUUCAAUCAUUCAUUCAACCCUAACAUUUAUAGGCGCACCGGCUACAUGUGGAGGAGGUAGCCAGGGGCUAGAUCAUGUAUAUAUUGCCAUGCAGGCCAUGGUAAGGACUUUGGAUUUUAUUCUGAGUACCAUGGGAAGCCACUGAAAAACCUUGCCUAAGAUAAUGGGUUUCUGUUUUGCCUAAGGCAAAUUAACUUUUUACUGAAGUAUACUAUACAUUACGGGAAAGUACACAAAUCGUAAGCUUGAUGAAUUUUCAUGAUGUAAUCGCAUCCAUAUCACUAGCACCCAGGUCAAUAAACAGAUCAUUACCAGAACCCCAGAACCCUUCCUUAUGCCCCUUUCCAGUAAUGCCGCUCCCCCAACUCAAGGGUAACUGCCAUCCUGACUUCUAUCACCAAAGAUUAGUUUUGCCUGUUUAUAUAAAACUUUAUAUAAAUGCAAUCACAAUAUGUAUUCAUUUGUGUCUGGCUUCUUUUUCAUUUAAUAUUAUGUUUAGGAGUUUCAUCAUUGUUUAGCAAUAGUUUAUUGGUGCUAUACAGAAGUUGAUUGCGUGAUCACACCACAAUUUACUUAUCCAUUCUACCGUUGAUGGACAUAUGAGUAAUUUCCAGUUUGGAACUACUACAAACAGUGCUGUUAUGAACAUUCUAUUACAUGUCUUUGGUGAACAAAUAUAUUCACUCCUGUUUGAAAUAAACUUAAGAAUGGAACUUAUGGAUCAUAAGGUAUGUGUAUGCUCAGAUUUACUAGAUACUGCCAAAUAUAUUCUUUCCAAAGAUAAAUUAACAUCCAAUGGUGUCAUUUUUGGACAUCUCAGGCAAUAUUCCUUAGUGUUAUAUAGUACAUGGCACAGAGACAAUAUUCUUAGUUUUGUUGCAUAUAAAAUGAGCAUAAUAACAUCUGCUUAGCUGAUCUCACAGGGAUACUGCAAGAAUCAAACGAAAAAAUAGGCCAGGUGUGAUGGCUCACGCCUGUAAUCCCAGCACUUUGGGAGGCCGAAGCGGGCAGAUCACCUCAGGUCAGGGAGGCCGAAGCGGGCAGAUCACCUCAGGU
Piliocolobus tephrosceles (Ugandan red Colobus) is the source of this 1511-nucleotide long non-coding RNA. RefSeq lists it as uncharacterized. The record is from RefSeq and is a predicted model, not a curated record. The transcript has 3 exons. Lineage: Eukaryota; Metazoa; Chordata; Mammalia; Primates; Cercopithecidae.